RNAcentral lists this unclassified non-coding RNA (240 nucleotides) under soil metagenome. RNAcentral's name for it is "partial contains 5.8S ribosomal RNA, internal transcribed spacer 2, and large subunit ribosomal RNA". The record is from RNAcentral.
AACGGUCUAUACCUGCGGUACCUGCGGAAGGAUCAUUAACAAAUUGUCCACGAUAAUGGAUAAUUUUUAUCCAUAUCCACCUUGUGUGAAUCCAUUGAAGUGUUUGUUGGCAGGUUAUCAGGUCUCAUUGCGAGAGCUGUGUGGGUUUAUAGGCUACACUAGUUAGUAGUCUGCUCGGCCUGCCAAUUUCAUGUUUAAACCUGUCUAAAUAGUUUGGACUGAACAUAUAAACUUUAAUAA